Molecule: ribosomal RNA, 134 nt
Filed under: uncultured Oscillatoriales cyanobacterium
Lineage: Bacteria; Bacillati; Cyanobacteriota; Cyanophyceae; Oscillatoriales
Description: partial 16S ribosomal RNA
Rfam family: Bacterial small subunit ribosomal RNA
Source: RNAcentral
CCGCGUGAGGGAAGAAGGCCUUUGGGUUGUAAACCUCUUUUCUAGGGAAGAAAAUCUGACGGUACCUGAGGAAUCAGCCUGGGCUAACUCCGUGCCAACCCCCGCGGUUAUAACGUGCCAGCAGCCGCGGUAAU